This 55-nucleotide transfer RNA is filed under the name Parascaris equorum. Its description in RNAcentral is "tRNA-Cys". Lineage: Eukaryota; Metazoa; Nematoda; Chromadorea; Rhabditida; Ascarididae. The record is from RNAcentral. RNAcentral also lists the same sequence under 1 other name.
GGGUCUUUAUUAUAUUUAAGUAUACCUAAUUGCAGAUUAGGGGGAUUUGGGCUUU